RNAcentral lists this ribosomal RNA (209 nucleotides) under uncultured bacterium. RNAcentral's name for it is "partial 16S ribosomal RNA". It matches the Rfam family "Bacterial small subunit ribosomal RNA", at positions 568 to 775 of the family's 1533-position model. The record is from RNAcentral.
CUCGUAGGUGGCCAACUAAGUCAGACGUGAAAUCCCUCGGCUUAACCGGGGAACUGCGUCUGAUACUGGAUGGCUUGAGUUUGGGAGAGGGACGCGGAAUUCCAGGUGUAGCGGUGAAAUGCGUAGAUAUCUGGAGGAACACCGGUGGCGAAGGCGGCGUCCUGGACCAACACUGACACUGAUGAGCGAAAGCCAGGGGGAGCAAACGG